ACNCAACCAAUGUGAACGUUACCAAACUGUUGCCUCGGCGGGAUCUUCUGCCCCGGGUGCGUCGCAGCCCCGGACCAAGGCGCCCGCCGGAGGAAUCAACCAAAACUCUUAUUGUAUACCCCCUCGCGGGUUUUUUUUAUAAUCUGAGCCUUCUCGGCGCCUCUCGUAGGCGUUUCGAAAAUGAAUCAAAACUUUCAACAACGGAUCUCUUGGUUCUGGCAUCGAUGAAGAACGCAGCGAAAUGCGAUAAGUAAUGUGAAUUGCAGAAUUCAGUGAAUCAUCGAAUCUUUGAACGCACAUUGCGCCCGCCAGUAUUCUGGCGGGCAUGCCUGUCCGAGCGUCAUUUCAACCCUCGAACCCCUCCGGGGGGUCGGCGUUGGGGAUCGGCCUUCCUUCACGGGGGCCGUCUCCGAAAUACAGUGGCGGUCUCGCCGCAGCCUCUCCUGCGCAGUAGUUUGCACACUCGCAUCGGGAGCGCGGCGCGUCCACAGCCGUUAAACACCCAACUUUCUGAAAUGUUGACCUCG
RNAcentral lists this ribosomal RNA (527 nucleotides) under Trichoderma sp. AH-Group-5. RNAcentral's name for it is "eukaryotic LSU rRNA". The stretch from base 190 to 343 matches the Rfam family "5.8S ribosomal RNA". The record is from RNAcentral. Lineage: Eukaryota; Fungi; Ascomycota; Sordariomycetes; Hypocreales; Hypocreaceae.